RNAcentral lists this ribosomal RNA (253 nucleotides) under uncultured bacterium. RNAcentral describes it as "partial 16S ribosomal RNA". It matches the Rfam family "Bacterial small subunit ribosomal RNA", at positions 524 to 776 of the family's 1533-position model. The record is from RNAcentral.
UACGGGGGGGGCAAGCGUUGUUCGGAAUUACUGGGCGUAAAGGGCUCGUAGGCGGCCCUCUCAGUCGGAUGUGAAAUCCCCAGGCUUAACCUGGGAACGGCAUCCGAUACUGGAGGGCUUGAAUUCGGGAGAGGGAUGCAGAAUUCCAGGUGUAGCGGUGAAAUGCGUAGAUAUCAAGAGGAACACCAGUGGCGAAGGCGAGUCCCUGGACAACACCUGACACUGAGGCACGAAAGCUAGGGGAGCAAACAGG